RNAcentral lists this ribosomal RNA (191 nucleotides) under uncultured bacterium. RNAcentral's name for it is "partial 16S ribosomal RNA". It matches the Rfam family "Bacterial small subunit ribosomal RNA", at positions 326 to 538 of the family's 1533-position model. The record is from RNAcentral.
ACGCUCGACACCUACGGGGCAGCAGUCGGGAAUAUUGCGCAAUGGAGGAAACUCUGACGCAGUGACGCCGCGUGCAGGAAGAAGGUUUUCGGAUUGUAAACUGCUUUAGACAGGGAAGAAAAAGGACAGUACCUGUAGAAUAAGCUCCGGCUAACUACGUGCCGNNCGCGAGUAUNUGNGGCGNGNGAGAG